RNAcentral lists this ribosomal RNA (406 nucleotides) under uncultured bacterium. RNAcentral's name for it is "partial 16S ribosomal RNA". It matches the Rfam family "Bacterial small subunit ribosomal RNA", at positions 30 to 526 of the family's 1533-position model. The record is from RNAcentral.
AUUGAACGCUGGCGGCAUGCUUUACACAUGCAAGUCGGACGAGUGGCGGACGGGUGAGUAACGCAUCGGAACGUGCCGAGUAAUGGGGGAUAACUGCCCGAAAGGAUAGCUAAUACCGCAUACUAUUCGAGCGGCCGAUGUCGGAUUAGCUGGUUGGGGGGGUAAAGGCUCACCAAGGCGACGAUCAGUAGCGGGUCUGAGAGGAUGACCCGCCACACGGGGACUGAGACACGGCCCAGACUCCUACGGGAGGCAGAAGUGGGGAAUUUUGGACAAUGGGCGCAAGCCUGAUCCAGCCAUGCCGCGUGUAUGAAGAAGGCCUUCGGGUUGUAAAGGACUUUUGUCAGGGAAGCGGUACCUGAAGAAUAAGCACCGGCUAACUACGUGCCAGCAGCCGCGGUAAUAC